AGCGUCUCUCUUCUUCUCUUCUCCCCCACCCCUCCGCUCCCUCCAAUGCUUCCAGCCGCCGGGUUGGAGCCUGGAGGGGUCCGGCGGCGCGCUCUGCCGCAGCUGCUCUGCCUGGAAAGGCUCGGCUCCAGCGGCAGCCAUUUUCCGGGGGCCGCCGCCGCCACCGCGACGGGCUCGCUGAGGCAAAACGCCCUUUGCUUGGAGAGAGCGGCCGAGCUCUCGUGUCUUCCCCAGCAAGCCGCCUCUUUUGGCCCGGAGCGCUGGCGGAGUGGGACGGGAGCGGGUGGGAAGAGAGACCCGGGGACUGGUCGGUGUCUUCGCCUCUUCGGGCCUGGGUGCUGCUUGGGACAGAUGGAAGAGGGGAAGGGGGGGGGAAGCUUCCCGGAUCCGACCUGUCCUCCGGGGUGCCUGGAGAUGGUGGGCGGAGGGGGCGACUUGGUGGCAGUCUGCGCAAGGCUCGGGACCCUCCCUUUCCCCCCUUCUUUCUGAAGGGGAGCUUCGCUUAGCGUGACCUGAAAGAAAGGUGGGUCCCUCUUUGCGGAACGAGGGAGAGACGCUGCCGAUGUCGCCCUUCUUUUUAAGGAGAGAAAAAAAAAAAACAAGCCAAAGCGGAUUGUGCAACAAUUGUGCACAUAAUCAUGUGUUUGGCGAGCUGCUGCCAGGAACAUUUAUUCCCAGGCUGGUCCUUAAGUUUCCUUCUGAACGUAUUAAAGGGUGUUGUUGUUUUUUAAUAUUAAAAAAAAUUAACAACGCUGGUCUUGGUGGUUCUGUUGCUCCUGCGGAAUCGAUUAGCUUUGAUUCUACUUAGGUUUCCUUAAGGAAAGAGAGCCUUAGUUUUAAUAAGAACCCUUUCAGUUCAAUGUGGUUAGAAUCGCAGUGUUUUAGGUUUCUCCAAAAAAAAAAAAAAAGGAUGGAAAUUGCUUGUCUGAUGUCUCCCUAAACUGAAUUUGUAUCCUUGUGUGUUGUGUUACUUUAUGGAUACUUGGUGCAGUCAUGUGCAUUUUACUCACAAGUUCCACCACAGCAAGUAAAGUUUAAAUGGGGUGGGUGGGAGGUGUGCCCAUAAUUUGUGGAUUUGGGUAUGAGAAAGGAGGUUUGGCUAAAAGAUAGACAGUUUUGUGUUUUGCUGGAUUUUAGUCAUGCAGCAGUCUAAUCGUCUAAAAUAUUAAGAUAUACCUAUAAAGGUCACAUAGUAGACCUGGGCAUGCAAAGCUGGAUUUAUUUACAUUUCAGAUUUCUCUAAUUCUGUAAUGUAUAACAUACUUGCAACUUUUGUUUUCUUUCAUUUGUGCUGGAUGAAAUAAAGGUGUGACCUAAUCCAGGACCAAGCAUGUGUCUUUGGUUAGCCUACAAGCAGCAUACACACCCUCUACCAAGCUUCUUGUAUCCCCAAGCAAUUAUUAGUACAGUUUGAAUCUUACUGUCUCAGAUAUUGAAGAUAACUAUUAGCCAUUGUUAGCUUUAUCUUCCAUGGACUUGGCAAUGUUCCUACAAAGCUGUCCGGAUUGGAGGCCUUGCUGCAUCUUGUGGCUUUGAAUUCCAUGCUUCAGUUAGGGCUUGUGUAACAUAGUGUUUCUGUUAUAAAUUCCUCCCUGUGUAAUUUGGUCCUUCCGGAUCUUUUUCCCAUGUUUAUCUUUACCAUCUUUUGCACAAUUUUAAAUAGUUCUAGAAUGCUUCCUUUUAUUUUUCAUUUCAUUCAAACACUCUUACUGUAAUUUCUUUCCUUAGACAUCCUGGUCAUUUUCUUGUCUUUUGUUAGCUUGCAUGCAAGAAAGCAAACACCCUUAGAAUUGGAAGUCUUUCAGAGACAAUCUCUUAAUUUUAUAUUGAGUUAUGCCCUUCAGAAAUGAAACAUUAACCUCUGAUCCUACGGUGGAAAGAGCUGCUUGUAAAAAUUAAAGUCUUCAUUUAUAAUGAGUGCACCUAAAAUAUUUUUACUUGGCAUAUUGUUGCAGGUAUUUUAAUAACAAACUUUAGCUCUCUUUUAAGCUGCAUACUUUUUAGAACAAAUAAAUGUCAAGUACUUAUGCUUAUUCUUUAAACAUGUACUUAUAAAUAGUACUUUUGGCUAACUCCUUCACAUGUUUGCUUACAAUACUAGUUUAGUUCUGUUAUAGAGGGAAGUUUGCAUUUAACUACAUUGAAUUGUAUAGUUUCAGUUAAACAUUUGUUUAAUCAUUUGAUUUCUAUAACCACCCAUUUCACUUUUACAUGAGUUAACAUAUUUGAGGAAUACUGCUGUUAAGUAUAAUGGUAGUUAAAAAGUUGAUACAAUGGAGUGGAUGGUAUUUCUUCAUUCGAAUUGUGUUUUAUCAGAUGGAUAAAUGCACAUAUCCCUGUGCUGAGAUUCAAAACCAAUACUGAGAUUUUAGAAUACCUUGUAUACAAAAUAGAGGAGUCUUUCAUCUGAAGAAAUCAAGAUGCAGUCAACUCUCCCCGGCACACCCGAAAAGGUUAACUUGUAUGAAAACAUCCAUGAGAUAACAGCCGCUUGUAUUUGCUAUUGCAUUGCUAUUAGGACUUGAUGUGAUUGAGCAACAUCUGAUGAGUUUCAUCCCUGUGUAAUACACUAUCAAUCAUAUGAGCAUUUUUAACUUGUAUGUAUAAAAUUUCUUAUAUUACUAUAGUUAAUAUUGCUAAUUUAAGGUCUAAGGCUAUUGUCUGCUCCCCACCCAUUGUAUAUAAUUUAAAGUGAUUCUCUGCUCUGUGUCAGGAAAUCUCAGGACCAUAGUUAUAAUAUGAUAAAGCCUAUUUUCAAAUGAGUUGCAACACAAAGAAAGGAGAUCAAAGGUCAGGCUCCAGAUUGUAAAGCAUUUCUACAGUAAGGAGCUCUAUCAGGAUGUAGGGGCAAGUGACCACAUAACUUUAGAAUCAUGAGUUAUCCUCCAGCAGAAAGCUUUAAACUGGAGGCUGCAAUUACUCUGCCCUGAUUCAUCUGGUUAAGCCUGAUCUGGCUGAAGACCAUCCAGAUGUAUUAUGUUAACAACCUUAACUCAGCUGGUGCUUGGUAAUCCUAACCAGGCAGACUUAUACAGAGACUCAGAAUUACUGCUGAGUAGACCUUUAUUCCCAAAGUAUCAUAUUGCAAACAAAUAGUUUGUUGCUUUUCUGGCUUCUGAUAUUUGAUCCAGUGGCAGAAUGACCAUGAUAGUUGGACUUAAAUCAGUUAUAGAAAAUAUUGAGUCUUAACUGUGGGCUUGUCCCUGUGGCCUGGUUCAAGUGGCACAGAAAGCUUAUUUUGAUCAUAUAGUGGUCCUCCACAUCUCCCUCUUCUAGAGAUGUCCUCACAUAAGGACACAACAAAUGACACUUCAGGCAGUCAAUGGCACAUAUUUCAUACAAAGUACUAAAGGUAGAAAUAAAAGUUUUGGAAAUCCUGGGGGGAGGGGGAUUGUAUGACAUCCUUAUCUACGGGCAACUGAACCAUAAUUUACCAAAUUUUAUGGAUUCUCAUAACACAUAGAAGUAGAACCUGAUGUUGCUAGGCUGAGUUUAUACCACAAGCUAGAUUAGAAUGCAGUUGGUAAUUUUGAAUUUUAUUUCGGUUAGGAAAUUAUUCUGCUCAACGCUAUUACCUGCAAAUUUUAUAAAUUAUCAAUUUCUUUAUUCAAAUCAUUAAAAUACUAAUAGUAAAAAUUCCGUUUUUCCUCGGUAUUAGCAUUUUGUCAUAAUUGGCCACUAUGCUACCUCUUUUGAACAUAUCUAAAGAAAUCAUUUUCGUUGUUUUUAAUAUUUCCUAGUUUCACUUCACUCUGAACUUUGUCUUUCCUAACACAGUUCUAGGCUAUUUGUGUAUAGUUUUCCUUGGUGGCUUGGGACUCUUUCCAUUACUAUAUUGCAUGUGUUCUUUUUCAUUUUCAAAUUAAAGCACUGUGAUGUGAGUUGCAGUUAAAAAUAAAGUCUCGGUCCUGAAAACAGCAACAUGCAGACACGAUUUUGCAUAUCACUCCCCCUUUAUGAUAUCCUUUUCCAAUAUAGAAACAUAUUUUUAAAGAUGUUCUUCCAGAUUUAAUUGUUUUAAUUGUUUAAAAGAAACAGACUUAAAGAAGUGGUGGUGUGCUAUAUAAAAUAAAUAACUAGAUCUCUACAGAAAUACAGAACAAUGAUGAAAAACAUAUUGAAUGCAAUGAAUGGGUUUGAACCCAAUUGGAGGAAAUAUGUGAACUUUUUGCUGGUCAGUUAAUUAAGAUAAGUAGGAAGCACCCCACAAUAUUAAUGGGGGACUUUAACUAACCUGACAUCAACUGGGAGACAAACUCUGUACCUAGUGGAAAAUCAAACAGGUUCCUCACAAAUCUAGCAGACAACUUUGUUUCCCAAAUGAUAGAAAAGGGAACUAGAGGGUCAGCCGUACUGGACUUAAUUUUCAGUAACAGAUUAAAUAAUAGAAGGGGUUGAAGUAACAGAAACUUUGCGUGGGGGACCAUGCAGUAUUGAAAUUCAACAUUAUGUAAGGUCAAGCAAAGGAACCAAGUCAAACUGGAAUCUUGCACUUCAAGAAAACUGAUUGGAAACUUGGAAAGAGCUUUGGAAGGUUUCCAGAGAUAGAAUCCUAAGGGGGAAAACAACCCAAGGAGUUUGGGAACUUUGAAAAGUGAGAUUAUAAAAAAUCAGUCUAGCAUAAUUCCAAUAAAGAAGAAAAUAAGAGAUCUCAAAAAGAAACCAGCAUGGCUGCACAAAGAACUCUGAUAAACUGAAAGACAAAAAGGAUAAAAAAUGGAAAGAGGGGCACAUAUCUAAGACAAAAUAUCAGCAAAUAUCUGAACCUGCAAAGAUGAAUUCAAGAAAGCUAAGGCUCAGAAUUUGUGACAAGUCACAAAUAACAAAGCUUCUUUCAGCAUGUAAAAAAAACAAGAAAAAAAGUCAAGGAAACAAUUAGUCCAUUAAUGGGUGAAAAAGGCAAGAAGAAGGUGGAUGAGGAGCAAGGAAGCAGAAUUAUUAACUCAUUUUUUACAUUUGUCUUUACACAAAAGGAAAAAAAACAAUCCAAGCUAUUAAAAAAUACUGUAAAAUUCAGACUAGGAGUGCCAAGUCAAAAUAAGAGAAUGGCAAGAGAACAAACUAUCCAUUCUAAACAAGUUCAAAUCAUCAGGACCAGAUGGAUUACACCUAAGGUUCUGAAGGAAUUGGCAUUUGUUCUGAUCUCAGAAAAAAAUAAACCAUAUCUUUCAAAAAUCCUGGAGCCCUGAGGACCAGAUGACUGGAAGAGGGCUGAUGUAGUUCCCAUCUUCAAAAAAAGAAAAAAUGGAUCCAGGAAACUAUAUACCUAUAGACUCAAGAUACGAAAGGAUCUUGACAGACUUGAACACUAGUCCCUAUCUAACAAAAUUAAAUUCAAUGGUGAAAAAAGUACGGUUCUACAUUUAGGCAAGGAAAAACAAAUGCAUAGAUAUGGAAUAGGUGGUACCAGGCUCAAUAAUAGUAAUUGUGAAAUGGAUCUUGGAGUCCUAGUGGACAGUCACUUAAAUAUGAACCAGCAAUGUGUUGCAGUGCCAAAAAAGCCAAUACAGUCCUAGGCUGCAUUAACAGUGAUAGAAUCAAGAUCAAAUGAAGAGUUAAUACCACUUUAUAAUGCCUUAGUAAGACCACACUUCGAAUAUUGUAUCCAGUUUUGGUUACCACGAUAUAAAAAAAGAUGUUGAAACUCUAAAAGAGUGCAAAGAGCAACGGAGGAUUAGGGGACUGGAGGUGACAAGUGUUCCAAUAACUAAAGGGCUGCCAUAAAGUGAGGGUCAACCUGUUCUCCAAAGCACCUGAAGGCCAGACAAGAAGCAAUGGAUGGAAACUAAUCCAAAAAGAGAAGGAACCUAGGACUAAAGAGAAAUUUCCUGACAGUUAGAACAAUUAAUCAGUAUAACAACUUGCCUCCAGUAGUUGUAGAUCUCCAGCACUGGAGGUUUUUAAGAAGAGAUUGGAGAACCAUUUGUCUGAAAUGAUACAGGGUUUAUUGCUUGAACGGGGUUGGGCUAGACGACUUCCAAGGUCCCUUCCAACUCUGUUAAUCUGUUCUGUUAUAUUGAUGAACUUUACAGAUAGUUAUGAACUGUGUGAUUUUUGUUCCUAUGCAUUUUUUCUCUUCCUAUACUAUUUUUCUUGACAUUCUAAAAUUGAAAAGUCAUAUUAACUCUGGCUAUAAUUCUCCAGCCAUCCCUAAUUCUGAUGAUUUCUAUAGACUUUUUCACAGACUCAUGGAAUUAAAAGAUCUUUUGGACAUUUUUUACUUCAGUCUCCUGCCUAGGGCAGGAAUAUUCAUACAGUGCCAGAAAAGUAUCUAACUACCGCUUGAAAAUCUCCAGUAAUGGAGGUCUCAUUACUCCAAAGGCAGGGUUUUAUUUUGGGAAUCUUUUUUAAAGAAAAGAUAGGCAGCACCUUGGAGAUUGCCCUUGGACAUUUCUCCUUUGUGUAUUUUAAAUUAUUUUAAUUAAUUCUUAUUUAAAUUUGGCUAUCUUAAUCUGCAAUAUUAUUUCAGAGCCCCAUAGAUAUUUAUAGAAAAUAGAGACACUGGCAACUUUUCUAAGAGAAUCAUAGGGAAUCAUAAUGAACCAGGAAUAAGAUCAGCUUGUUUUGCAUUUUCUCUUCCUCUUUUUAAUUGAUCUGAGUUCCUUAAAAGCAAAAGAGUAGUUGGUGAACUAGAUGGCAACACCUAACCAGCCUUAGACUGAUCUUGAGAAGCUAAGCAGAAUCUGAUCUGGUUAUGAGACGACAAAGAAAUCUGAGAACUGCAGAGACUAGAAUGGCAAGUAAAAAAAAAAAAGUUGCAAAAAGUGAAUAGCGAAACACUUAUGCAUAAUUGCAUUACAUGAAGUAAUAGGUCAAUGUCCAGGUAGCAGCAGGAAUUGACAGAGGGAGUACUUGAUUUUAUUGAAAGAGAUAAUGGGUAAACUUGAGUUUUUAGUUGCAGUAUGCCGGGUAGUCUGUAAAGGGACAGUUGUAUCAAUAAAGAAUACAGAAGCUUUCUUUGAAUGUGUUAUUGGGUUCUUAUAAUACUCAGCUAUAGCAGGGAAUAAAUGACUUCAGAUAGCAGAUAUAUGAAAUUUGGUACACUGGCUUCCUUCCUGUUAAUUGCCACAUGCAACCGUUUAAUGUAAGUUGGCAGCAUAUAAAACAGUCCAUGGGCAUAAUAGUCCAUUUUGAAAAAUGCUUGUAAAAGGAAUAGUUAGCAUCUGUCCUUCUGCUUUGUUGUGGCAGUAACCUAUUGUGGCAGUAACCUAGGCAUUAGAUAGAAAUAGUUUAUGUUGGAAAUAUUAGGCCACAUAUAAGUCCACCAUAAAAUUCUAGCUUUAAUGUGCAAUGUUAUCUCAAAAAGAAUAUUAGAGAAUAAUCCACUCAGUAGUCUUACAUAUGCUAUGGAGGUAGUUCCUUCUGGGAGAAGCUCAAUCUUAUUUAAGUGUUGAUUUCUGACAUGCAGCAAUUGCAGCCCUUAUUAGCCCUCUUCCUAUGCUUAAAGACAGAACCUUCCAAAAAGGAAUCAGAAAGGCAAUAAACAUAGAUCUUGUGUUAAAAGUAUUAGCCCAUUUUCUUUCAGCACAAAUGGAUUCAAGCAGUUGCAUCCAGAAAUACCUGCUAUUAGUUGUCAGUAAAUAGGAUCAUAUAUAAUUUGGAGGUGGUUUACUUUUAGUGGUGUGAACCUAUAGGACCUUUUCCCACAUAGUAAAGCCUAUUCAAAUACUUGGCAAUUAGAGAUAUUCUGGUGGAAUUCUCCACAGACAUUCUGGUGAAAAAUGCCUGUCAUAAAUAGUUUUUUUUUUAUCAUGAAUAAACAGAGUACUCAGUAAUGUCUGUUCUGUUGGUACCUGCUUGGCAACAGCUAUACUUGUAGAAUGCAGAUUCUUAACUUGGAGAGAUGAUAGUUGUUUACCAUGAGAUUUGUGUCACCUUAUCAUGUGUAAGAAAAUUACAGUUCUCAAUAUAGCUUAAUUUCUUUUUAAAAAGAGGAGAGGGAAUUCUCUGCAGUUUAAACCUGCUUUUAAUCUUGUCAGCAGUCUCUGUUCCCUAUCCCCAUCCCAAAAGUCAAGGUGACAAUUCAGAAAAGGCUUGAGGCUUAACAGUCCUAAUUUCAAGAUAUCACUUGUCACUGAAGCAACAAAUUAAGUUUAAAAGGGCCUCCGGCUCAUGGGAGACUGAGUUUAUCUCCUCUAUCCAGUUAGAUCUGUCAAUUUCAUAGAGGUUGGCAACUUUCUUGGCUUCAUGAAGAUAAUUCAAAGUCCUGAAGAAUUAAUCAACAUUGUGAAUCAUGAUACAGUUAAAAUCCAUCUCUAUCUUGAGGAUGAUUUCCAGAAAUGCUACCAUCAGCUUUGAACUGAUGAGAAUGGAUACAUAACUCAAAAUCUUUGCCAUUCUUUUCCUUCAGGAAAAACAGUAUUAAAAAUGGAUGGCCACUGUGCAGGUUGAGGAAAUCCAAAUGGGAAUGCAGAGUCCUCCCGAUUCUAGAAAAUUAUCAUCUCAUAAAUAAUAGUCAAUAUUAUUUAAAAUAAAAAAGGAACUUUGUUAAUUUUUGUCAUAUUAUUUUGAAAACUUAAGCAGUUUCUCAGAAACUAAAGUUCAGUGACAUAGGUUUAAAGAUUACAAUUAUGAAGACCCAUUUAGUAGAAGUGUGAACAAUGACUGUGAGGCUUAAUUAUGCCACUUAUCAAUUUGGUGCUUUUUGUAUAACAUCAUCCUUUCAACUUGACAAUUUGCCAAGAAUGGAAUGGUCCACUCCUUAAAGAUUGAAAAUUAACAAAGUUAUUCAUAGAGUAUUAGGGAAAAAUGAAAGAGAAGCAUAAAAUCUUAGACUGUGUGAUUAGCUCUCUUAAAUAAUAUAUUUAUGCUUGGGUUUAGCUCCAGAAGGAGACACAAUUGGAUUAUGCCACAGGCUUUAAGGAAAGCAGGUAUAAAAUUUUCAUGUCUUUAGUUUUUUAUACUUUCUCAGUCAUGCAACCAUGUUAUACCAAUGCAGAUACGGUCUGAAUGCCCUCAGUACUUGUUCUGUAUAUGAAGCAAACACAUUGUGGCUCAGCAUUCAGCCAUGCCAGUUUGAUCUGGAUUAAAUGAAAUCUAGAACCUUUGGGCAUGAGAAAUUUUGGGUGGGCCUUUUGGGUUAUUUACCUGUGCCCUUUCCUUUUGUACUGCUGCUUUUGCCUGCCUGUCCCUUCCCCGUCUUCCUAGCACUAAGAGAAAAUGUACUUGCUGAGUAGUAUUAGCCUAGCAGGAUGCUGAAUGCAGCCUGUGAUUACUGUUUUUUUUCUCUUUGGUUCCCGUAUCUGGUCUCUGUUGCUUCUGACUGUGUUCCCUUGGCAUCCUGCAUAUUUCUUCAUCUCUCUCUGGCUUUUCCAUUUUUUCCCAUCCAGAAUAUGCCCUGUAUAUAUGCCCAUUCCUGUAUGAGGUUUCCCAGCCUAUUUGCUUUUCUACCCCUUUGAAAAGAAAAAUGUGCCAUGAUAUUUAUUAUAAAAAUAAUUCUUUAAAAAGGUUAGUAAAAAAGAGAACAGUGACACUAAAAUCUUUCUAGCAUCCUGUACUACUAGAAAGUAAAAUUAUGUCUCCUACCCUCCUUCUUCCUAGUGGCCUCAGCAUGGGAUAGAUGGAAGCAUAUGCUUUAUCAUACGCCAUAACAACCAGCUGCUUUUUGUUCAGUCAAUAGGUUAAUAAUAAAAUAGCAUGUAAUAAAGAAAAAAAAUGAUGCAAUAUAAAUAAAUCGACCUUAUUUACAUUUCAGAUAUAGCUAUCAAAAUACCAUACAAAGUCCACUGAUCCUCGGACCAAUAAUAGUUGUGAAACCUAGAUCAGUUUACUCUGUGAAUCUAACCAAAGUAUGAGGUUAAAUUGUUUAUUAACAAACAGCUGAGAAACUGAAAGGGGGAGGGAUUGCUCUGAACUGAAAACUGUUUUUAUGAUAUAUCCAUAUAAAUACUUUGUGAAUAGCUUAUUAAUUACUUCACUGAAUAACUCAUCAGCAUACAUUUCCUUUUAAUUAGUAAGGUGAUUGCUGAUGAAGUACAGAUUAUUUAAUCACUCCAAAAUGCAGUUCCUCCUAAGGCCAAAUAUUGUAGUGAUGCCAGUAUUUCAAGCCCAGUAUCAUUUGAAACCAUGGCUCGAGUUUUUACAUAAUAAUGGCAGCCAAGGUUAUAGAGCUAUUUGAAUGUUUUUGUUUUUCAUGUUGUUGUAAGAGCAUUCAAGUUUCAGCAGUCUCUAGAGACAGAGUAAUAUUGUCACUGUGUUCUCAGCAUUGGUUAAUCCAUCAAACCAUGAUUAAACAUCCUUCAAUGUGAACAUAUUUGAUCUAAACAUACUAUUGCAACAAAGCAUAACAAGCAGGGAGGAGUGUUGGAUUUGAUAGCCUAAAUGGCCCAUUCCAACUUGGUGAUUUUGUGACAUGCUAAUUAUUGCUUGAAAUUUCACAAUUGGAAAUCAUUAAAAUGCUGAUGCUACAUUUUCCUCAUUACCUUUGAUGCAAAGAAACUAAAUACUGUAGUGCACAAGUAUAAUGUAAUGGGACUGCCUUGAAAUAUUUCUGUGAAAUGAAUUGUUAAACUGAAGAAGCUUCUUGGAUGGGAAGUGAAACGUCUUCAAUCAAAAAACAAAAGUCCAGUUGUCUUUUGAAAAAGCUCCUUUGGGACAUUUCUGUGCUUAGCAUUUGUAGAUUGCCCUUUUGGUAGACCUGGAAGAUCUAUGAAGAAUAAAGCUAGUUUGUUCUGUCACAUAUAUUUUUUACUCAUUUGUUCUUUCUGAGAAAGAUUCACAUUAGUAUUUUUGUGCUACUUACAUAAUAAGGCUUAUAGGAACCAAAAUUCAUAUUGUUGUCAUUAUCCAAAGAUGGAUAUACUGGAUAGGUAUAUCUAACUGAUCUUAUUUUAUUUCAGAAAAUUAAGCAAAGUCAAACUUUUUAGUAUACGGAAGAGAGGCAUCAGGAAGUCCCAAGUUUGUUGCCUGGACUGGGAAAUUGAAAAAAAUAUUUUGAAAAAAAAGCAAGAAAUCACUCACAUAUUCUUGCCAAGAAAACAGUUUGGAAGUGUCCAUUAAAUUGCCCACAGUUGAGCUUAAUUUGAUAGAGAUAUUGCUUUGCUUUUAUUUUUAGCACAACAAUCCUAAACUCAUGUAUUCACAAAGAGCAAAUGUAUUGAUUUUGUUUAAUGCAAGGCAGAACAGUUUUCUCAGAAAAAUCAAAAGCUUUGACAGCACAUAUACUAAAAUUGGAACAACACAGAGAAGAUUAGCAUGGCCCCUGCACAAGGAUGACACGCAAAUUUGUGAAGCGUUCCAUAUUUUUUAAAUUAAAAAAAAGUCUGCCUGAUGGAGUUUAGUUGUAGUUGCUUUGUUUUAUGAUAUUGCUAGUUUGGCAGGUGAUACGGAUCUAAGGUGGUAUUCCCCAUGAACUUGGGAGAGGUAUAUGCCAAGAUUAUUGCUUCCAGCCCGAAUGCUAAAUUAGACAUGCCUAGCUGAAGAGUAUUUUUAAUGAAAAUACAACCCACUUUAUCAUCCAUUUUAUUCAUUUUGUUCUAAUUGUUGUUGCUGAAAAAAAGAAUGCUUCUAAAGGUAGACUAUAAGUGGAGUCUUUAUGAUACUGUGUGAUUCUCUGUGAUCAGUUGACAGAGGGAAGAUGAAGUUUGUGACAAACAGCCUUCUAAAUUUGAUAAGUACAAAAUCUUUGAGGAAUAUCUCUGGAAAAAAUAAAUAUUUGUGGAAAGAGUAAAAAUGAGUACAAGUUAGUAUUCAUGGCUAACUGUAUUGGAUUAAUUUUGUUUGUGGUUUUUAUUUUUUACUACAUGCCAACAUCAGCCAGCCAAACAAAAGCCAAAUUGUAUGAAAUUCUUUGCAUAUUUGUAGUCUGUUGCUUAUUAUUGCUUUAAUAGGUACCAUUUACUGGGAUGAACUGCGUAUGCACGUACAAAUUUGAAUUCUUAAUUUGACAGGAAAGUAUGUUUCUCCUGCUAUUAUUAAAUAUCUGAACAUCAAUAAUCUUUGUCCUUCUCCUACAUUUCCCCAUGUUGGAAUAAAAUGAACAGCGAACAUAAUAAUUUCUUUGGUUGCUGCUUCUAGUUUCCUGGAUGAUCUUUUUUUCCAAGAUAGAUUUCAUAAUUGAAUAUCUCAACUUAUAACAUAAGCCUUUAGGUUCCAGGUAGGAAGUACUAUUUAGAUAGACUAAGCCAAGAAACCAACUCCACAGGAAGGGUUUUUUUUAUUGAGUUUAGCUAUAACAUAAGAAUCUUGCCAGUCCAUAUCUUUGUAUACUUCAGUGAAUUAGGGAGGUGUUUAAGCAGCUUCUGAACAUUAUCUGUUUGUUACUAAGAUGUAUUUCCCCUUUUUGUCAAGUCAUCUUUCCUACUCUCCACAAGUAGCAAUGCUUAUAUAUAGAUAAAAGUUUAUAUUUUAUGUUGGCUGCUUAUAUACAGUGCCAAUCUGUGGCACUGGGUAUGAUUCUAGGAGGAACUGCUAUUUGUAAUCCCACCAACUUUUUCCCAUUUUUAUCCACUAGGAUUUGAUGGCACAAGUGAUAUUGGGAACCAGAAAUACUUGGAAUCUAAAUGUGUCAGUUUGUCCUUGUGAACUGUAUGGGCAUCCAAUCUCCUUCCCAAUCUGACAAAUGGAGUGGGUGGGAUUAUCAAACAUGAAAAGAACUGUAGACAUAAUGAAGUGUCUUGACCAUAUAAAACCAAAGUAGAACAUAUAUUCAGUAUAAAUUGAAAGACAAAAAGGACAAGUAUAAAAAGUGGAAAGGGGGGCAAAUAACUAAGGCAGAAUAUCAGCAAAUAGCCCGAGCCUGUAAAGAUGAAGUGAGGAAAGCUAAGGCUCACAACAAACAAAGGCUAGCGACAAAAGUAAAAAAUAACAAAAAAAAGCUUCUUCCAACAUGUUAAAAACAAGAAAAUCCACAUAGAGGGAAGUAUGCAGUGGAGUAGCCCAAGGCUUUAUUUUAGGCCCAGUACUCGUCAACAUCUUCAUCAAUGACUUGGACGAGGGGAUAGAUGGGGAACUCAUCAAAUUUGCAGAUGACACCAAGCUGGCAGGAAUAGCCAACACUCCAGAAGAUAGGCUCAAGUUACAGAAGGAUCUUGACAGACUUGAACAUUGGGCGCUAUCUAACAAAAUGAAAUUCAACAGUGAAAAAAGUAAGGUUCUACAUUUAGGCCAAAAAAACAAAAUGCACAGGUACCAUAUAUGUGGUACCUUGCUCAAUAGUAGUACCUGUGAGAGGGAUCUUGGAGUCCUAGUGGACAACCAUUUAGAUAUGAGCCAGCAGUGUGCAGCAGCUGCUAAAAAAGCCAACACAGUUCUGGGCUGCAUAAACAGAGGGAUAGAAUCAAGAUCACGUGAAGUGUUAGUGCCACUUUAUAAUGCCUUGGUAAGGCCACACUUGGAAUACUGCAUUCAGUUUUGGUCGCUGCGAUGUAAAAAAGAUGCUGAGACUCUAGAAAGAGUGCAGAGAAGAGCAACAAAGAUGAUUAGGGGACUGGAGGCUAGAACAUAUGAAGAACGGUUGCAGGAACUCGGUAUGUCUAGUUUGAUAAAAAGAAGGACUAGGGGAGACAUGAUAGCAGUGUUCCAAUAUCUCAGGGGUUGCCACAAAGAAGAGGGAGUCGGGCUGUUCUCCAAAGCACCUGAGGGUAGAACAAGAAGCAAUGGGUGGAAACUGAUCAAGGAAAGAAGCAACUUAGAACUAAGGAGAAAUUUUCUGACAGUUAGAACAAUUAAUAAGUGGAAUGACUUGCCUGCUGAAGUUGUGAGUGCUCCAACACUGGAAAUUUUUAAGAAAAUGUUGGAUAACCAUCUGUCUGAGAUGGUGUAGGGUUUCCUGCCUGGGCAGGGGGUUGGACUAGAAGGCCUCCAAGGUCCCUUCCAACUCUGUUGUUGUUAUUGUCAUUGUUAUAUAUGUACCUCUCUGCUGCUUUUCCUAUAUAGAACUGAAUUCUUUUACUAAAAUAUACCAUAGGCAACCUGAUGCUAUCUCAGAUACAUUGGACUGCAAGUUUCAUCAGCUUCAACUAGCAUUUCCAGUAGCACAGCAAUUUGGCUGAAAAACAUCAGCAAGGGCUCCAUAUUGUUUGUUUCAGAGGCAGCUGCUUAAUAUACACAUUUAACUUCCACGUUUGCUCAGAUUCUACAAUGGAAGAGACUUCUUGAUUCCAGCAGCAGCAUGGGUAGAUGCUCCAGUUAAAGAGGAUCAAGCCUUACAGUUUAGCAGAUAAUGGCUUUUUUGUUGCAAGACUUCCUGGUCUGUGGCAUCAUUUCUACUCUCUACCUCUGUAUCUAUGAGAAAAAGGUGGGUGUUGCUGGAUGCAAUUGUAUCCUCAUUACUGUGUGGUUGUUUCUGAGUUACAAUUGUCAGAGGAACAUUGCAGUUUGCUGCUUAGUAAAAAAGGAUCAUGUUGGCUUCCACCUUUACUGAUGGCUUUUCCAUCAUUAGUUACUCCCACACCUUACUCCAUAGCUGGUUAGUGCAUAACAAGCUGGGAGGAAGCAACUUUCUUCAUUGAUACAGUAAGUUGCUGUUUGGGAAUUUGCCUUCUUCGAUCUGUGUUUUGAACAAGGGAAAAAAAAGGAGGGGGAGGAGCUUUGUUUUUCUUCGCACA
Molecule: long non-coding RNA, 14546 nt
Organism: Ahaetulla prasina
Lineage: Eukaryota; Metazoa; Chordata; Lepidosauria; Squamata; Colubridae
Exons: 3
Source: RefSeq, a predicted model, not a curated record